GUCUAGCAAUUUUUAAAAGAGUAAUUAAGA
RNAcentral lists this non-coding RNA (30 nucleotides) under Rattus norvegicus (Norway rat). Lineage: Eukaryota; Metazoa; Chordata; Mammalia; Rodentia; Muridae. The record is from RNAcentral.